AACCCAUGUUGUGGACACUUCUGCAAGAGAUCCUUGAAUCGUUCCCAUGUCUCAAACAAUGAUUCUAACUCCAUCUAAACAUACGAAAAGAUCAUAUUUUGAAGCU
Dioscorea cayenensis subsp. rotundata (Guinea yam) is the source of this 106-nucleotide small nucleolar RNA. The record is from RefSeq and is a predicted model, not a curated record. NCBI's taxonomy places the organism in Eukaryota, Viridiplantae, Streptophyta, Magnoliopsida, Dioscoreales, Dioscoreaceae.